Molecule: ribosomal RNA, 489 nt
Filed under: Glyptocombus saltator
Lineage: Eukaryota; Metazoa; Arthropoda; Insecta; Hemiptera; Schizopteridae
Description: eukaryotic LSU rRNA
Rfam family: Eukaryotic large subunit ribosomal RNA
Source: RNAcentral
GUAUUCAAAAUUUUAACAGGCAAGAAAUUAAUUUUUUUUGUUCUGUAAUUUUGGUACUGGCUCGCACUCCCGGGGCGUCUUACACUCAUUGCGAGUAAAGGCGCACCAAGAGCGUACACGUUGGGACCCGAAAGAUGGUGAACUAUGCAUGGCCAGGAUGAAGCCAGGGGAAACCCUGGUGGAGGUCCGUAGCGAUUCUGACGUGCAAAUCGAUCGUCAGAGUUAUGUAUAGGGGCGAAAGACCAAUCGAACUAUCUAGUAGCUGGUUCCCUCCGAAGUUUCCCUCAGGAUAGCUGGUGCCAUUGAUGACAAGAGUUUCAUCUGGUAAAGCGAAUGAUUAGAGGGCUUGGGGCCGAAACGACCUCAACCUAUUCUCAAACUUUAAAUGGAUGAGAGCCUUGGCUUGCUUGAAUAUAAUAAUAAUUUUGAGUUAUUAUAAAUGAAGCCAGAGACUUUGAAUCAAGGCACCAAGUGGGCCAUUUUUGGUAA